This 200-nucleotide long non-coding RNA is filed under the name Ricinus communis (castor bean). RNAcentral's name for it is "long non-coding RNA (RCOM_LNC002257)". Lineage: Eukaryota; Viridiplantae; Streptophyta; Magnoliopsida; Malpighiales; Euphorbiaceae. The record is from RNAcentral.
GUCAACAGCGGAAGAGUGGGGGAGGUUCGGCCGAAGGUGCAACGGAGCCGGCGAGUGCAGCAACGACGGCAGGAGAACGCGAGCAAGUGGCAGCGUGAUUUUGAUCUCAAAAUGACAGGUGAGUUGAGGGCUUUCUUUUAGCAGUAGCAGCGUCGACGUUGGUGGCCGGAGGAAGGAGUUCUGGUGAACUGAUCGCAGCC